AGCUUUUCGACUCUGUGCUGAGAUUUCGUCAGCCACCAACCCAUUAGGGCUGAGGGGACUUCCAAAAUAAGUGAAGUU
RNAcentral lists this microRNA precursor (78 nucleotides) under Schistosoma mattheei. RNAcentral describes it as "mir-3492 microRNA precursor family". It matches the Rfam family "mir-3492 microRNA precursor family". Lineage: Eukaryota; Metazoa; Platyhelminthes; Trematoda; Strigeidida; Schistosomatidae. The record is from Rfam by way of RNAcentral.